UACGUAGGGCGCAAGCGUUAUCCGGAAUUAUUGGGCGUAAAGAGCUCGUAGGCGGUUUGUCGCGUCUGCCGUGAAAGUCCGGGGCUCAACUCCGGAUCUGCGGUGGGUACGGGCAGACUAGAGUGAUGUAGGGGAGACUGGAAUUCCUGGUGUAGCGGUGAAAUGCGCAGAUAUCAGGAGGAACACCGAUGGCGAAGGCAGGUCUCUGGGCAUUAACUGACGCUGAGGAGCGAAAGCAUGGGGAGCGAACAGU
This 253-nucleotide ribosomal RNA is filed under the name uncultured bacterium. RNAcentral's name for it is "partial 16S ribosomal RNA". It matches the Rfam family "Bacterial small subunit ribosomal RNA", at positions 524 to 776 of the family's 1533-position model. The record is from RNAcentral.